UAGGGAAUUUUCCACAAUGGACGAAAGUCUGAUGGAGCAACGCCGCGUGCAGGAUGAAUGCCUUCGGGUUGUAAACUGCUUUUAUAUGUGACGAAUAUGACGGUAGCAUAUGAAUAAGGAUCGGCUAACUCCGUGCCAGCAGCCGCGGUCAUACGGAGGAUCCAAGCGUUAUCCGGAAUUACUGGGCGUAAAGAGUUGCGUAGGUGGCAGAGUGUGUCUGUAGUGAAAGCGUGUGGCUCAACCACAUAUCCAUUAUAGAAACUGCUCAGCUAGAGGACGAGAGAGGUUAUUGGAAUUCCUUGUGUAGGGGUAAUAUCCGUAGAUAUAAGGAAGAACACCGAUGGCGUAGGCAGAUAACUGGCUCGUUCCUGACACUAAGGCACGAAAGCGUGGGGAGCAA
This 400-nucleotide ribosomal RNA is filed under the name uncultured bacterium. RNAcentral describes it as "bacterial SSU rRNA". It matches the Rfam family "Bacterial small subunit ribosomal RNA", at positions 355 to 771 of the family's 1533-position model. The record is from RNAcentral.